Molecule: small nucleolar RNA, 108 nt
Organism: Malania oleifera
Lineage: Eukaryota; Viridiplantae; Streptophyta; Magnoliopsida; Santalales; Ximeniaceae
Source: RefSeq, a predicted model, not a curated record
AACCUAUGAUGUGGACAAGUGCUUAGUAAAUCCUUGAAUCGCUCCCAGCAAGCCUAAAAUGUCUCGUCAUAUUGCUGCACAAAAUUAAGAAUCUGUUCUUGUAGAAAU